UUUUAGUUUGUAACUUGGUAGACUACGUUGUUAAUAGACUAUAUGAUAGAUUCAUAAGAUUAAUCAGGAAAAUUCGUCAAUCCAUAUAAUAAUGUAAUAUUCAAAGUUGUCAAAAUAAGUAGAUAUGAAAUCUCAUAUUUCUUUAGCAAUUAUAUGCUAGGUGAUCUAGAAUUUCUACUCCCUUCCUUUGCCAAAUCUGACAAACUUGCAUGCUAGUUCGUUGUUAUAUUAUCGUCCAAAUUAAGAAAAGGGUCAUUUAUGUUCAAACUAUAACCCUCGGUUUAGGAUUUGGAUUUUUUAUCUUAAAUUUUGAUGUCAAACGAGAAAUAAAAAUCAACUUUUUAGACCAAAAAAAAAAUCAAUCCAACAAAAACUAAAGAAAUCAGCAUAAGCGGACAAAAAGACCAAAUGACGGAG
RNAcentral lists this long non-coding RNA (417 nucleotides) under Brassica rapa (field mustard). Its description in RNAcentral is "long non-coding RNA (BRAP_LNC005861)". The record is from RNAcentral. Lineage: Eukaryota; Viridiplantae; Streptophyta; Magnoliopsida; Brassicales; Brassicaceae.